This 504-nucleotide ribosomal RNA is filed under the name uncultured bacterium. RNAcentral describes it as "bacterial SSU rRNA". It matches the Rfam family "Bacterial small subunit ribosomal RNA", at positions 9 to 526 of the family's 1533-position model. The record is from RNAcentral.
GAGUUUGAUCCUGGCUCAGGACGAACGCUGGCGGCGCGCCUAACACAUGCAAGUCGAACGAGAGAGAGGGAGCUUGCUUCCUUAAUCGAGUGGCGAACGGGUGAGUAACGCGUGAGGAACCUGCCUCAAAGAGGGGGACAACAGUUGGAAACGACUGCUAAUACCGCAUAAGCCCACGACCCGGCAUCGGGAAGAGGGAAAAGGAGCAAUCCGCUUUGAGAUGGCCUCGCGUCCGAUUAGCUAGUUGGUGAGGUAACGGCCCACCAAGGCGACGAUCGGUAGCCGGACUGAGAGGUUGAACGGCCACAUUGGGACUGAGACACGGCCCAGACUCCUACGGGAGGCAGCAGUGGGGAAUAUUGCACAAUGGGGGAAACCCUGAUGCAGCGACGCCGCGUGGAGGAAGAAGGUCUUCGGAUUGUAAACUCCUGUUGUUGAGGAAGAUAAUGACGGUACUCAACAAGGAAGUGACGGCUAACUACGUGCCAGCCGCCGCGGUAAUUC